GACGAACGCUGGCGGCGUGCUUAACACAUGCAAGUCGAACGGAAAGGCCCUGCUUUUGUGGGGUGCUCGAGUGGCGAACGGGUGAGUAACACGUGAGUAACCUGCCCUUGACUUUGGGAUAACUUCAGGAAACUGGGGCUAAUACCGGAUAGGAGCUCCUGCUGCAUGGUGGGGGUUGGAAAGUUUCGGCGGUUGGGGAUGGACUCGCGGCUUAUCAGCUUGUUGGUGGGGUAGUGGCUUACCAAGGCUUUGACGGGUAGCCGGCCUGAGAGGGUGACCGGACACAUUGGGACUGAGAUACGGCCAAGACUCCUACGGGAGGCAGCAGUGGGGAAUAUUGCACAAUGGGAGGAAGCCUGAUGCAGCAACGCCGCGUGCGGGAUGACGGCCUUCGGGUUGUAAACCGCUUUCGCCUGUGACGAAGCGUGAGUGACGGUAAUGGGUAAAGAAGCACCGGCUAACUACGUG
RNAcentral lists this ribosomal RNA (468 nucleotides) under uncultured bacterium. RNAcentral's name for it is "partial 16S ribosomal RNA". It matches the Rfam family "Bacterial small subunit ribosomal RNA", at positions 28 to 507 of the family's 1533-position model. The record is from RNAcentral.